ACGGGGUGCUGGCGGUUCAGCCGGCUGAGAACGCGCACAGGCGCAACACCCAUGAACCUGAUCUGGGUAAUGCCAGCGUAGGGACGGGCUA
Molecule: non-coding RNA, 91 nt
Filed under: human gut metagenome
Also listed under: 1 other name
Description: TPP riboswitch (THI element)
Rfam family: TPP riboswitch aptamer (THI element)
About the family: Vitamin B(1) in its active form thiamin pyrophosphate (TPP) is an essential coenzyme that is synthesised by coupling of pyrimidine and thiazole moieties in bacteria. The previously detected thiamin-regulatory element, thi box was extended, resulting in a new, highly conserved RNA secondary structure, the THI element, which is widely distributed in eubacteria and also occurs in some archaea.
Source: RNAcentral